Lycium ferocissimum is the source of this 812-nucleotide long non-coding RNA. RefSeq lists it as uncharacterized. The transcript is spliced from 2 exons. The record is from RefSeq and is a predicted model, not a curated record. Lineage: Eukaryota; Viridiplantae; Streptophyta; Magnoliopsida; Solanales; Solanaceae.
UGGUCAGCUCCACCACGUGUCAAAUGUCGUACUAUUCUCCUUUAUUUAUACUUUUAACCAGCAAAUGCGGAACAAAAAAAGAAAAACCUUUUAACUACCAAAGAUUAUUUCUAUUUUCUGCAGCAAAUGAUCCUUUCUAUCUCUUCCUCUUCUUGAGAAAUUAGAGAGAAGAGACAGUAUUUUGUUUGUAUUUUGAUUUUUCCGAUCUCUAUUUUUUUCUUUUAGACAUAAAUUCUUAUUAAAGGAAAAGGAAAUAUUUGAUUCAUUCUUAUGGAGCUAUUAGACAAGAUGGUGGAUCCUAUGCGCAAAGCUUGGACUAGAGUUUCUACACGUCUUCGUUUUCGUAAAACUGGGCUUGUAGAGCUACACCGUGAUGUGAGGAAAUGCGAAUAUGAAGAUGUCCAUAUUUUGUGGGAGAUGCUGAAAAAGAACGAAACCGUGGAUACUACUAAAUCUGCUGCACGGCCUAAAAAAGUUCGGUUUUGGGAUAUUAUUGAUUGGGCAAAACAUGCUCCCUUCAUUUGCCGUAGCGUGUAACAAAUAUGUUUUAUUGUAUUUUCUAGCUUGCAUAUCUCACAUAUCCGCCUGCGUGUUUUUAGCCAGAUGAAUGAUCGUGGACUAUUUCAGACACAGAUUUGGAACAGGACUAGUGAUAACGUGGAUUACAAGAGUUGGUUUUAGUGGUAGUUUGAAAUGUAGCUUGUAUGAUCUUGGACGAUGUGUAAUCUCUUGGAGAUGGACGUGUUGUUUUACUUGAAUAUUUCUGGUAUGAGGGUUAUCUUCAAGUGAUUAAGAAUGUAACUUUGUGAACC